Sarcophilus harrisii (Tasmanian devil) is the source of this 443-nucleotide long non-coding RNA. RefSeq lists it as uncharacterized. NCBI's taxonomy places the organism in Eukaryota, Metazoa, Chordata, Mammalia, Dasyuromorphia, Dasyuridae. The record is from RefSeq and is a predicted model, not a curated record. The transcript has 3 exons.
UUUUAAGAAUGACCUUGGGGCCAAAUGAUAUCUUGUGUGGAGAUACCUCCUUGUGAUUGACCUGUCUGGUAUUGAGAAGUGGGAUUGAAGGAUUUUGGCCUGACCAGGCUGCCCUACUUUUGACUCCAGAUGCCAUAUAACAGCAGAGACCUCAUGUUCCAAUCUGAGUCUAAACCCAAGGUUCAGGCUGACACAACAUUUGGAGGCCCCAGCGAGAUGACUGGCAUUUUGUGUUGCCAAGGAGACCCCUGAACUUCGGAAGAGAACAGAAGAAUGGACUGGCCCUCUUUCAGUUUCAGGGGAGCUGACCUCUGUUGAUGUUCCAGGGUCCUGGAACAUGGAGUCUGGUAAAAUCCUGCAGAGAUAAGGACCAUCUCUAAAAUAAUUGCUUCAUCUUUUUUUUCCCUCUUUAAAGAUAUGUAAUUUGGGAUAUGAUACUAAAA